Long non-coding RNA from Dermacentor albipictus, 409 nucleotides. RefSeq lists it as uncharacterized. The record is from RefSeq and is a predicted model, not a curated record. NCBI's taxonomy places the organism in Eukaryota, Metazoa, Arthropoda, Arachnida, Ixodida, Ixodidae.
ACAUCACACUCGAUGAUCACGGGCACUCGCUGUCAAAACGCUAGUGUCAGCAAGCGCGGCAGCAGCAACAGUGAACGAAGUGACCUUCCUGCGGUCUAUCGCGUCAACGCCAGAGCGUCAAGAACGCAGCGCUCACUGAGACGCUGAGAAGCAAACCUUGACGAAAUUCCUCGACUGCGCCAUGGUUUCAAUACCGGAAAAAUUCCGCAAAUCUGCCCAAGACAUGUUCGACAUGUUCAAUGGCAUGACCAAAACCGACGCUGUUCUCCUCAUGUGCAAAGCAGCUAUGGACGCUGCAAGCGCCUUGUUUGAUGACUUCGUCACAAUGUACGCGGGCACUACCACGGAAAAGGAGCAUAUGGAGGGAGUAUUAGCCUUAUGCUACGAGAACGCACAGUGAAUAUUACCG